CUCAGGGACGUGCCACUGCUCCUUGACGUUGGUGGCCGUGGGCGGGUUGAGCACCCUCAUGCGGACGGCGGUCUCGCCGGCGUCCAGCUGCGGACUGGCCGCGCACUCGGUCUCGUCCUUGGGCUUCUGGCAGUCGUUGACCCACUGCUGGAGGCCGUCGAAGUUGAACGAGGCCCACAGGCCGCCAUAGUACUCGUUGCUGCAAAAUCAACCACGUCGAUUAAUUCACUCGAAUUCGACACGCUUCGGCGCACGCACGUACCUGUCCAGGUGCAACACCCUCUUGCCGACGCGGCUCGCGGCCGCGGCCAAAAUCGACUCGGUCAUUCCUGCGUGCCGAAAAUUAAACAAUUAAGAAUAAUAGUGCCGAAUGCAUAAAAGGUGGAAAAUUUAAUUGCAAACCUGUGCCGACGACGAUGACGUCGUACUCCUUCGGAAACUCGUCGCCCAUUUCUCUCGAUAAUUAGCCCAAUUCGGCAGAAGAAGACUCUAUUCGGCGGGAGGCUCGUUCGGCGGCCGAGACGAACGAAUGCGGCGGAAUUGCUAUCUCGGUCGGGCCCUUAAAAGUUUAAAUUCCCAAAGUCGGCUCUUUUAUUGCUGCGAUUUGAUGGUGGUGAAUCGAGACACUGCCGGAAGCGCCACUGACGGCACUGACGGCAGCGCCGCCAACCUCCGAGCAACACCCAAGUGGACCUUUUUGCAGGUCACGUGACCGCACUUGCUGCACUCGCCAAAACCGGUCGGAACAGGCACAGAACUGCUUGACGAUUCGGGAGAACUUUUUUUCUUAAAAGUUUUUCUUCCAAGUUGUGCGUCCGUGCAGAGAGGAAGGCAAGAAAGGAACACAUUCCAUUGUAAUUCGAACUGCCUUCUUAUUUGGUCGCUGCGAGCGAGUCUCACUCAGAAUGCCGAGUAAAUCAAAUGCUGACAAUAAUAAUACGUACGAGGAGGAGUUGGACUGGAGCCGCAUCUUGAGAGGCGCCGACAAAAUCACUGACCUUCUGCACACAAUUGGGUUUCACGAGAUGAAAAGUGGACGCAGGUCAGCCAUGGGCAGCCUUCUCAUUUGGAUGUGUUUUUUUUUCAACGUCCCAUUUCCUGCUGCACUGAACGCCACCAAAGUUCUCAUCGGCCGGAGAUUUCAACUCUCGAAAUUUUGCUCAAGAGAAAUCGCCCUGCGCCCUGGCAGGCGCAUGGCACCUCUCGCUCACUGUCGGCCCAGGUCGUAUCCUGAAAGGUGCUGAUCAGACCUUUUAUUCGUUCAACCUUUUGGGUGCGGACAACAAAAACCGCUUUGACCCGGAGAGGUGUUGGUACGCGACCUUCACAGACGCAUCCUCCCUCACCUGCUUGGCCAAAGGCGAAGGUUAAUUUGGCCAAAAAUUUGUUCCGGGCGGAUGUUCAUCAUUUGAGAAAUCUCUUUCGUCAACGCAUAAAAACAGAGCAAAGGAGUUUCUUCCAGGGAGAAGCCUUUAUUGGCAGGGUUUAUUUGGAAAACCUCUUGCUGAGAUCUGCGGUUGAUCUAAUGGUGUGCUCUUGGGGCAAACAGCAGAUGAUGCAGCGCAUGUGAGAAAUUUGCAUUUUUCACUGCAAUUUAGUGCAAUCUGAAAGAAAGAUCCGUCCUGUCCAUCGUCCUGGGUGUUCACGGGUAUCAAAAGUAAUACACUCGAUGUAAAUGCAAAACUGACAAGAUUUAAAAGAUCAUCGCUGUCGUAAAAUUGGCCAACGCCACUUUGGGCGUAAAAAGGGUGUCUUUACCGGUGUCAUCGUCCUCGAAAUCAAAGAACUCUGACCAGCAGCGGACGACCUUGUUGCCUUCACCAAAGCAAAUUUUGAGAAAAGAAUUUUAGCUGAAAAAGAUCAAAGAGGUCCUGGCUUUUUUCUGGCAGUACCACCAACAACUUGCACCGAGACUGCAAAAUGCUUACCCUCGCUGAGGAGGGAAAAUUUAUUCGUCUGCCGAUAGAUUUGUUUGCAUCAGGCUAUAAUUUGAGAAGAAUUAAUUGUUUAGAGGAGAAAGAGUUUGGAGCUGGCAAGGUUGGACGCUUUUUGCUUGCCCGAUAUAAGCGGAUCAACCUGAGAAGGGCGCCAAUUUAACCUUGCUCUCGGCCACCUUCGAGCAGCAGUCCCUGCAGGAUUCGUCCUAAUGGAGAGACCUAGCUGCGUCCUGCCGACAGAACACCCGCUCUUCUGCUUUCUUUCAGCCGGCCAUGCAUCCUGGCUGGCGAAGCUGCCAAGUAUGCCGCAUGACGUUGAGUACCCUGAGAAGAACAUUUUAUGCUCUUUGAAGCCAUAGCGAGGUUCAUCACGAACAAGUCAGACACCUCCUCAAGAUUUUCGACCUUUCCUCAUGCAACCAUUUUAUGGCGAAUUUGAGAUAAAGCUGAAUAAAUUUGAAUUCUUUUAUUAAUUUCUAAUUUGCAAUUUUGUUUUUUGCCAAGAAUUUUUAAAUUUCUUACAAAUGUCGUCUACCUUUGUAAAAUUCAAACUGAAAAGCGUUUGAUUUUAUCUGGUCAUAAAAGGUUAUGUAUCAUGAUGU
Neocloeon triangulifer is the source of this 2539-nucleotide long non-coding RNA. RefSeq lists it as uncharacterized. The record is from RefSeq and is a predicted model, not a curated record. NCBI's taxonomy places the organism in Eukaryota, Metazoa, Arthropoda, Insecta, Ephemeroptera, Baetidae. The transcript is spliced from 5 exons.